AGAACUUUCUCCUUGAGAUCUUUAACAAGAAUGAAGGUUUGCUUAAUACAAAUGCCUUGGUUACAAAUAUGGGCAUUCGAUAGCUUAUACUUGAUAAUAAGCUUUUUACCAUUAGCACCAAAGAGGGCUUGCCUGGUUUUCUCAUAAAAUUGGGUAGGUACAAGACCUUCUUGUAGACAAUUCAAAGCUGCACCUGAAUCAAUUAAAGCAAUAAUAUCAAGGAUAAAUUUAUUCUUAAUUACUAUAGUAAGG
Molecule: long non-coding RNA, 252 nt
Filed under: Vitis vinifera (wine grape)
Lineage: Eukaryota; Viridiplantae; Streptophyta; Magnoliopsida; Vitales; Vitaceae
Description: long non-coding RNA (VVIN_LNC002941)
Source: RNAcentral